Nyctereutes procyonoides (raccoon dog) is the source of this 1142-nucleotide long non-coding RNA. RefSeq lists it as uncharacterized. The record is from RefSeq and is a predicted model, not a curated record. Lineage: Eukaryota; Metazoa; Chordata; Mammalia; Carnivora; Canidae. The transcript is spliced from 5 exons.
CCGCCCGGCCGGGGAGCGCCGCUUCCGCCCCGCUGGGGAGGACCUCCCCUCCCCCUCCGGAGAGGCGCCGUCCUCGGGCCCGCUCGGGUCCCGCUGGAUUUUAUUUAUUCAUGAGAGACACCAAGAGAGAGGCAGAGACACAGGCAGAGGGAGAAGCAGGCUCCAUGUGGGGAGACAUAGGACUCGAUCCCGGGACUCCAGGAUCACGCCCUGAGCCCAACGCAGAUGCAUAAUUCAGGAAUCGGAUGAGUCUCUGUAGUUUGUUUUGCCCUGAAGAGCAGAAGGCUUCGGUCCCAGCUGGUGUUGCCAAAGCAGCAUACUAAUUCCAUGCCAUGGUCCUGGGUCAAGAUCUGCACAAUCUGAUUGGCCAUAUCACCUCGGAUGGCAAGGGAACGGAAGUGGUCAAAAUCAUGAAGACCCAGCUUCCGGAGACGCCUUGCAGCUGCCCGGUGUCUUAGACCCCAGGGAGGAAAAAAGAGUUCCAAGGGCAUAACCAGUGUUCCUAAUCAGGAAGGUGAGGAACAGAGCAAGCACCAUCUUAUAAAAAUCUGCUUUUCAGACUUGUAUGUACCUAGGGAACUCAGUCAACUCGUUGCUUUUUAAAUAAACAUCCACUUGGCUCCAUCCUACACUGCAUGGCAGGCACGUGACUCUUAAUUCCAGACAUGAUUCCGUCACCCCGGCUCACCUCGCCCAGUAGAGCGAUCCCAACCCUACGUUCCCAAAGGUGGGUGUCCAGAAGCCCCCUCUCUGCAGCCUGGGGGUCCCCCAGCUGCGCUGGACAGGAGGCUAGCGCCGGAACCCCAAAUACGGCGGCCCUUCCCACAAGAGGUCUGGCCAUCAGGCAGCGAACGCACUGGACGGGACGGGACGGGACGCAGGAAUUUGGAACCGAGUUAAAAAUCAUUCCUCCCCAGGAUUCCUGAGCGAGAUGGCGGUGGGUCCCCGAUGGUCCCCAGUGGUGGAAGGUCCGGCAGCAAGGGGGUCGGCCCAAGCGACGCCUUUAGAAUCAUUUUUGGGAAAGUCCUGGGGGUGGAGGGGUGGGGCGAUGUCACGCCCAAACCCAAGCCCCAGCGAACGCGGAGGAAGCCAGCAGUCCGGCUCCAGGACCUCCGACCCCGCCCCUGUCACUCACCCCAGAG